Molecule: long non-coding RNA, 366 nt
Organism: Astyanax mexicanus (Mexican tetra)
Lineage: Eukaryota; Metazoa; Chordata; Actinopteri; Characiformes; Acestrorhamphidae
Exons: 4
Source: RefSeq, a predicted model, not a curated record
AAAAAGUAAUCUGGUAGACUGGGAGCAAAGUAUCUAAAAAAGUAAUCAGGUAGACUGGGAGCAAAGUAUCUAAAAAAUAAUCUGGUAGACUGGGAGCAAAGUAUCUAAAAAAGUAAUCUGGUAGACUGGGAGCAAAGUAUCUAAAAAAGUAAUCUGGUAGACUGGGAGCAAAGUAUAUAAAAAAGUAAUCUGGUAGACUGGGAGCAAAGUAUCUAAAAAAGUAAUCAGGUAGACUGGGAGCAAAGUAUCUAAAAAAGUAAUCAGGUAGACUGGGAGCAAAGUAUCUAAAAAAUAAUAAAGUAAUCAGGUAAACUAGGUACAAAUUAUUUGAUUAUUAAUGUGGUAGAUUGGAUUGAUUGGAUUUUG